AGAAAGUUGCAGCACAAAAAGCCUACCUUUUACUAAAUAAGACAGGCAUGUUUCCUAAGUGCUCUCUCCAAAUACCAGGUUGCAGUUUUGUAAGAACAUUUCAUCCUCCAGUUUAUAUGACAUUUCCACUAAAUAUAACAUAUCAAAUCCCACCAAACCUUCUGUUACGGUUGGCUCUCCAAACUGGUGGUAGCACCCAAGGUCAAUGAAAAUGAUCAGUUACCUGUGGUCCUAAAAUGGAGUUGAAUUCGUUGGCCUGAGGAUUCUUGCUGGGAAAAUGAACCCAACUCUAAAUGCAUCACUCUGAGUCAAAGGGUCAACCAGUGAGAAGACAUUACCAAGAAUAUGAUUCGCCACACAGAGCCACUUAGUAGGAACCAAUGCCAGCAUGGCCAAGAUAUGUAAAACUGCUCCUGAAGAUGGGAGGAGAGGCCAGGGCUACAGGCAGAAAGAACAUAAAUUUAAUUAGAAGUCAAAAGGAUCUUCUAUUAAAAGGACCACUGUCUAACAAUGGACAAUGGACUGAAAAUACCCAAGCCUACCACUGAAAACAUUCAAGCAUUGUUUGGUGAUUUUCUAUCAGAAAUGAUAUAAAUGUGAUUCCAGCGGUUAAGGGGAAGUUGACUCCAUUUUCCAAAGAUCCCUUAAAUCCUGGACUCUUGCUUAAAACUAGCAGAGAAAUCAUCAGAAGAUAAAGGUAAGAGUUGAUAUAGUCCAAUGGCACACAAUCUCUGAAAUGAAGAUGAAAAUGUCAAGAACAAAAGAUCUUAAAGGCUGUUGUUCUCACCAUAUGAGAAAACACACCUUUAUAAGACUCCUGGCUCAAUAAUACUGCAGAAAAAUCAGGUCAUGCUGCACUUUAAAAACUCCUAGAUGACCUUUCUGGCCUGUCAAAAUUAGUGGAGAAAAUUUUAAUGAUACUCAGAUCUAUUGAUGUUUUAUGCACUGAACUUUCUUGAAGAAAUCAGGGGACAAUAUACCAUUAUAAAGUUUUAGUUCUACUUCUUCUCUCUUACUGAUCUAAUUUUUGAUCACACAUCUUUUUUUGGAAAUAAAAAUGCUUUAUGAAAU
Molecule: long non-coding RNA, 1071 nt
Filed under: Ursus maritimus (polar bear)
Lineage: Eukaryota; Metazoa; Chordata; Mammalia; Carnivora; Ursidae
Description: lncRNA (ENSUMAG00000020490.1)
Source: RNAcentral